AAUUUAGCUGUAUUUAAGGGCAAAAUGAUAAUUACAUCACAAGGUUAAAAUAGAACUCUAGAAGGAUCCAUUUUCUUUCUCAUUUCUAACAAAAAAAGAGCACCAACGUGCAACAUCUAACUCAUUUCUUCAUCUUCUUCAUCCAGGUUAAGCCUGAAGGAAGAGAAGAAGAAAGGAUAUUCAUGAGAUGAAGGUACAAUGAAGUACACCAGGAAAUUAACAUAAUAUGCUACUCUUUCAGGAGGAUUUUUAUUUGUUCAAGUCAAGAUGGUGAAAAAUAUGCACAGGAACUUAUGCGGACUCCUUUAAGUUGAAAUAUGGUUAAUUAAAGUUAAGAGUUACCAUAUCAAAAAAGAAAAAUAUAAAUUGACGCAAAAAUGAUGCCAAGAACAAACCAAAAGUUUGAGAAAGAAAAAUACAUAUUUCUUAGGUCGAAUGCAUUUCAAGCAUGUGAUGCUCUUGCAGAUAGAAUUAUACAAACUAGUUAUCAAUGUUAGUUGGCUGAUCAAGCAUUAGAAGUUAAUUGAUUAACUUUUGAUUGAAAGGUUCAGAUAAGCACCAUUUCUAGCGGACUAUAUCUUGAAAGACAUUAUAUGUCUGAUUGUAUAAGCUCUCCUAUAUUUUAUAACAUCUAAACAAUUUCCAUCUUUCGAUUUUGAUAGAUACUAAUUAAUUAUCAAAGAGAGUUGAAAUGA
This is a long non-coding RNA of Nicotiana tabacum (common tobacco), 695 nucleotides long. RefSeq lists it as uncharacterized. Lineage: Eukaryota; Viridiplantae; Streptophyta; Magnoliopsida; Solanales; Solanaceae. The record is from RefSeq and is a predicted model, not a curated record.